CUUCCUUCUGGAGUAUUUUGUGAGCCCUGAUCCCUGGCAUGGUUCAGCCAUGAUGGGCCUGUCUUCUACUGAUACAGCUAUGAAAGGUUGAGAAGGGUUGUUGCUUGAACACUCUGGAAGACACUGUUAGAAGGAUCAAAAUCCUAAUAAGGAUAACAAGAGGCAUUUGUUGUGGAGCACUGUUCUGCACAGAGGUAUUGUCAUCAUCCUGCUGACUUAGUGGAAGGAAGAUGUACUGAGACAGCAGAGUUCCCUCCUGGAGUAGAUAGGACUGUUCCUAUAACAGGAAGGUUGAAUGACAAAGCUCAAGCAAGACUGACUGCGUCUCUGGGAAGAUAUGAGCUUUUUCUGGGCCCAUUCAACCUGCUUGCUUCUGGCAUUCUGCAACACCAUGUCCUUUCCAAAGCACGAUUGCAUCCAUUUGGUAUUUCAGAGUUCAUAUUCUGCAUUUUGAAUGUUGAGUGCUAAUGAGCUGUUUCCAAAUCCUCCGGUGCCACCAGAGAGUCACUUCUUGGCAACUGCUCUGCUGAAAGACGGAGCUGAGGCUUUCACAUGUGAUAUAAUUUACACCAGGCUAAGUGCUAUUUAAGCAUAGUUUGUGUGCCUGAAUUUUGCAGACUUUUAAUGCUAAUUUUAUCAUGAGAAAUAGGGGGAACCUUGGAAACCCAAGCGUUUUUGGUUGCUGCAAAGUUAGGAACAUCCUGGUGAAUUAUUUUUACCUUCUGCAGCCAGAACUGUGGCCUGAACUGCAGAUCAAAGAAGAGCAGCACUUUAGUUUAUCUGGCAUAAAAGUCUACGUUAGCCUAAAUAGACAAGUGGGAAAAGAUAUUGAGGCCCAGACUCCACAGCAGCUGUGAGAUGCAAUUUUAAGAAAAUGGAGAUCACCCGCAAUGUGUUAAAGGACUGGGCAAUGAGAUCCACACUAAAAUAUGUACCUGCUUCUGAUCAGCACCUCUGUUGUCUAUGUUGUACGCAUGCAGAUAGCACUCUUCUUAACCAUCAAGUCAUCUAGCUCAGAUGAUGGUCACUUAAGGAAACGUCAAAUAAUGGAGAGAUGUAUAUACAGUUGCUGCAGCAGGGAGGAAAGCAACAAAACAGGAAUGGAAAUUGGCAGGAGGAGGUCUGAAAGGCCACAAGUUUCCAGCUCAGAAAGACGGUGGGAGAGGAAGUCGGUGAGUGCAAAAGGAUUCCCUCUCUCCCCACCUCUCAGCCCCCACCCUCUGUCCUUCCUCCACACCCCUCCCAGGGAGAUGGGAGAAGAAACUUGGCAAGCCAUCUUGUCGCCAAUCAAUCUGUGGUGUAACAAUUAGCACUUAAGCAGCACUCAAGCUAAACACAGGCUCAGAAAACACUUAAAAAGAAAAAAAAAAAAGGGGGGGGGGAAAAAAUAACACAACCCACCAACACAACAAGAGGGGAAAGCUGGAACAGAUCAAUGCCGCGCUGAGCAGCAGGCACCUAAUACCACAUUAUUGACGAGGACGAUAGCGCUUUAAGUGUGCGCUCUCCACGCUGAGCAAUUAGCCAGCAGGACCUCUGCAGCGAAGGCAGCUCCACCGCAAGAACGCACCCUCCCCUGCUGCCCACCGCUUCCCCCAAGAGGUGUUUGAUGACAGCUUCAUUUGUUAGCGUGAUUCCAAGAGCUGGUGGCGCCGGCAUCAUUCCAUUACGGAAGGGAGCGCGAGGGGAGGUUGGG
Long non-coding RNA from Numida meleagris (helmeted guineafowl), 1696 nucleotides. RefSeq lists it as uncharacterized. The transcript is spliced from 7 exons. NCBI's taxonomy places the organism in Eukaryota, Metazoa, Chordata, Aves, Galliformes, Numididae. The record is from RefSeq and is a predicted model, not a curated record.